RNAcentral lists this non-coding RNA (72 nucleotides) under marine eukaryotic metagenome. RNAcentral's name for it is "Glycine riboswitch". It matches the Rfam family "Glycine riboswitch aptamer", at positions 8 to 87 of the family's 94-position model. Rfam says of the family: This family represents the bacterial glycine riboswitch. The record is from RNAcentral.
ACACGGGAGAACUGGCAAACCAGUGCCGAAGGAGCAACCGCCCCGGAAACUCUCAGGCGAAAGGACCGCGUU